RNAcentral lists this ribosomal RNA (708 nucleotides) under uncultured Actinobacillus sp. RNAcentral's name for it is "bacterial SSU rRNA". It matches the Rfam family "Bacterial small subunit ribosomal RNA", at positions 99 to 803 of the family's 1533-position model. Lineage: Bacteria; Pseudomonadati; Pseudomonadota; Gammaproteobacteria; Pasteurellales; Pasteurellaceae. The record is from RNAcentral.
CGGACGGGUGAGUAAUGCUUGGGAAUCUGGCUUAUGGAGGGGGAUAACUACGGGAAACUGUAGCUAAUACCGCGUAAUAUCUUCGGAUUAAAGGGUGGGACUUUCGGGCCACCUGCCAUAAGAUGAGCCCAAGUGGGAUUAGGUAGUUGGUGGGGUAAAGGCCUACCAAGCCGACGAUCUCUAGCUGGUCUGAGAGGAUGACCAGCCACACUGGAACUGAGACACGGUCCAGACUCCUACGGGAGGCAGCAGUGGGGAAUAUUGCACAAUGGGGGGAACCCUGAUGCAGCCAUGCCGCGUGAAUGAAGAAGGCCUUCGGGUUGUAAAGUUCUUUCGGUGAUGAGGAAGGUGUUUGUUUUAAUAGAACAAGCAAUUGACGUUAGUCACAGAAGAAGCACCGGCUAACUCCGUGCCAGCAGCCGCGGUAAUACGGAGGGUGCGAGCGUUAAUCGGAAUGACUGGGCGUAAAGGGCACGCAGGCGGUGACUUAAGUGAGAUGUGAAAGCCCCGGGCUUAACCUGGGAAUUGCAUUUCAUACUGGGUCGCUAGAGUAUUUUAGGGAGGGGUAGAAUUCCACGUGUAGCGGUGAAAUGCGUAGAGAUGUGGAGGAAUACCGAAGGCGAAGGCAGCCCCUUGGGAAUAUACUGACGCUCAUGUGCGAAAGCGUGGGGAGCAAACAGGAUUAGAUACCCUGGUAGUCCACGCUGU